Molecule: long non-coding RNA, 1103 nt
Filed under: Homo sapiens (human)
Lineage: Eukaryota; Metazoa; Chordata; Mammalia; Primates; Hominidae
Description: long non-coding RNA NONHSAT211625.1
Source: RNAcentral
UCAGGUUUUGCCUCAGCCAACUAAUCUCACAUCCCCAAACACAAAAGUGUUUUAAGAAAGAAGAAAUUCUUUCCAAUUCUGACAUUCGUCAAAAGUUAGUAAAUACUCAGAACGUGUCAGCUUCUCAGGUUGAUGUAGCUGUGAAAAUUAAUAAGAAAGUUGUGCCCCUGAACUUUUCUGAGUUCUUUAGCUAAACGAAUAAAGCAGUUACAUCAUGAAGCACAGCAAAGUGAAGGGGAACAGAAUUACAGGAAGUUUAGGGCAAGGAUUUGUCCUGGAGAAAAUCAAGCAGCCGAAGAUGAACUAAGAAAAGAGAUAAGUAAAACGAUGUUUGCAGAAAUGGAAAUCAUUGGUCAGUUUAACCUGGGAUUUAUAAUAACCAAACUGAAUGAGGAUAUCUUCAUAGUGGACCAGCAUGCCACGGACGAGAAGUAUAACUUCGAGAUGCUGCAGCAGCACACCGUGCUCCAGGGGCAGAGGCUCAUAGCGUGAGUGUGUUUAGUGUUCAUUCCCAGACUCCCCCUCAAAUUGAAGAUCUAAUAGAGGCCGAGGCAGGAGGAUCACAAGAGGCCAGGAGUUUGAGACCAGCCUGGACAACACAGCAAGACCUUGUAUCUACUUUAAAAAAGAAGAGAUCUAGGAAGGAGGGGUGUAAAAAAUAAAAAAGAUCUAGUUGGCCAGGUGCGGUGCCUCACACCUGUAAUCCCAGCACUUUGGGAGGCCGAGGCAGGCAGAUCACCUGAGGUCAGGAGUUGGAGACCAGCCUGGCCAACGUGGUGAAACCCCGCCUCUACUAAAAAUACAAAAAGGCCAGGCACGGUGGCUCACGCCUGUAAUCCCGGCACUUUGGGAGGCCGAGGUGGGCAGAUCACUUCAGGUCGGGAGUUCGAGACCAGCCUGACCAACAUGGUGAGACCUGUCUCUACUAAAAAUACAAAAUUAGCCAGGCGUGGUGGCAGGCGCCUGUAGUCCCAGCUACUUGGGAGGCUGAGGCAGGAGAAUCGCUUGAACCCGGGAGGCGGAGUUUGCAGCGAGCCGAGUUCGUGCCAUCGCACUCCAGCCUGGGCAACAAGAGUGAAACUCCGUCUCAAAAAAUAAUAAUA